This is an RNA transcript of Hevea brasiliensis (rubber tree), 2362 nucleotides long. It is a transcript of the gene named probable inactive poly [ADP-ribose] polymerase SRO3, with no coding region annotated. The record is from RefSeq and is a predicted model, not a curated record. The transcript is spliced from 9 exons. NCBI's taxonomy places the organism in Eukaryota, Viridiplantae, Streptophyta, Magnoliopsida, Malpighiales, Euphorbiaceae.
AUGGCAGCUCCGCAAAACGUUACUGUUGAUUCUACUGGUUCUUUGUCAAUUUCGUAGACCAUACAAUUGCAUUUACCUGCAAGUGGUGUAAAGUUAUGGUUCUUGAAGGAAGGAACAUGGUGGAAUCCAAAUCAACUUCAGCAUCUUCGUCUUCUUCUUCGCCGCCCAGGACUCAGAACUGCUGCGGGAUUCACUCGACGGAUUUAUGUUCUUCCAAGAUCAUGUUGCAGAAUCACGGCAAUUUCAAGCGCAGCGCCACUCCGGUUCGCUUUAUGUACUUCAGUCACGAUGGUUCCUGGCUGAAUUUCCCCGACGAAGUGCUCGGUUCUCUGAAAUCUGCUUUUGUAGAGGGCAAGCCCAUGGUUGACUUGUUAAUCAGUGGCUCCAGGUAUGUUUUUGAUUUCAUGCGCAUGUUGCAAACUGAUUUCGACUCCGGCUGUCAGCGAUCGAUUGCGUGGAUUGAUGAGAAAGGGAAGUGUUUUUUCCCUAAAAUGUUUGUCGGUGAGGAUUUUGAUGGUAGGCCGGAGAAAUCGGAGAAUCCUAAAAUUGAAAUUGAGAUUCGGAUUGAUAAUAGUCCAAUUAAGCGAAAGAGGGAUGGAUUGGAUAAAGAAGAGCCCGAGGUUAAUUCGUCGAUUAAGCAAGAGGAGGAUGCUUCGAAACGGCCGCGUUUAUGUUUUCCCGAUGUGGAAACAUCUAGAUGGCCCAAUGCUAGGUUAUUGACAGAAGGUGAAAAAGCUUAUUCAAUGGUUAGGGAUUAUUUUUUGUCUGGGAUAAGGAAAGUUGAUGCCGGUGCUACAAUUACCGCCAUUUAUCAAUGCACGCGCGAUGGUCAUUUGGAGAAGGCGCGUUAUGAGGUUUUCCAAAAGCAGAUUGAGAUUACAAAGGCCGCGCGUGGUCUGUCUAAUUUGGUGUAUGCUUGGCAUGGCGCAUCGGCGAAGGGUGUGGAGAGUAUUUUAGCGCAUGGGUUUGGGGUACCUAGCAAGAUUUCCGGUACUGAAUGUUAUGGGGUUGGUGUUUAUCUGUCUCCUUUGGGAUUGCCCUAUAUGAGUGCAAAGUUAUCGGAGAUGGAUGGUAACGGCGAAAAACAUCUUAUACUGUGUAGAGUUAUCUUGGGUAAUGUUGAGAAAGUCGAGAUGGGGUCACAACAAUAUUAUCCUUCAAACUUUCAAUUUGAUACUGGUGCAGAUGAUCUUAACAAUCCCAAGUGGUAUAUUGUUUGGUCAAGCAAUAUGAACAGACACAUUAUCCCCGAGUGUGUUGUGAGCUACAAAUCUGCUCAUCAAGUGCAAGGCCAAGUGAAAGGACCGACUUGUAUGAAAUAUUCCCUUGAGAAAUUGUUUUCGAAGAUGAGGAAUUUGCUCCCUCCCACCAAAAUUCGGGAAGUGGUGACAUUAUAUGAUACUUACAGAGGGGGUAAGUUGGCCAGAGAUAUGUUCAUAAAGCAGUUGCGAUUGAUUGCUGGGGAUGAGGCUGUGAUGUUUGUGAACAAGUAUAAUAUGAAUUACUUGAAGUCUAAUUAGAAAGAGAAGGGUAUGUUCUAAAUAUUAUCUUAUUGCAACAAGUUCCUUUGCCUAUUGCAAUAUUAAUUUUAGCAAUUACCUGCCUAAAAGAAAAAAAAAAUCUCAGAUGUGAUUGAUAUUGUUUAUUUUGUGGCAACAAGGGGGAUUUGGAUAGAAAAAUAUUUGACACAUUGGCAGUUGGUUCAGUGAUUUCACAUCGGGGGUCACUAUUGUUAAUUUACUUUGACACAUCAGGUUAUUGAUAAUUACGUGCAUCAUGUUUCUGUGAGAGUUGUGGUUGUGAAAGAAAUUUUUAUCAGGAUAUGAAGCAGCAGAAUGAGAGCAGCGUUGCAGCCUGAGGUUUUUUUCAAGUAGUGUGUGGGUUUUGGAACCUAGCAAGAGUAAUGGUUUUGAAGUCCAAUAGUUUGAAAUAUUACCCGAGGCUAAUGUACUAGCGUGAUUGAGCCUUGGUAAUUAAGGAUCAUUUAUAAGGUGAAUAUCAUUGCCUUUGAUUGACUUCAAGACUUUUACUUUCAGCCUACCAUCAUAUUCAGAACCUGAAUUAUCUUUUCUUGGAUAGUAGGUGUGGAUGGUCUCAGAGCCUCGAAGCUAUUUAUGGAAAGAGGUAAAAAUCAGAGAAUUUCAUUGUGCUCCUGCGCCAAAUGAGAUAGCACCAUCCUUGUUGUUAUGAGUGGUGAUAGUUGAUGUUGCUAUGAGCCUUUGACGAUUAGUCCAAAUGCCAUGUGAGCCUGUAAAAGAAGAAAGUUGUGAAGUCGAUAGCUUUCUGGCUAACUACUUCAACGCUCAAGUAAGAGAUAUUGAUUGAGAAUAGAGAAAGUAUGAAUAUGGAGUUCAAUUGAAAA